This 206-nucleotide small nuclear RNA is filed under the name Xenopus laevis (African clawed frog). RNAcentral's name for it is "U2 spliceosomal RNA". Lineage: Eukaryota; Metazoa; Chordata; Amphibia; Anura; Pipidae. The record is from Rfam by way of RNAcentral.
AAAUUCUGCCUUUUGGCUAGGAUCAAGUGUAGUAUCUGUUCUUAUAAGUGGAGGGGGAGCCCUGUAGCUAAUGGGGGGCAUGUCUUUGGGCCUUUUUUUUACUGCUAUUUAUUCUUUUAGCACUUAUUUUUAACACUUACGCUCUUUUUUGGAUCUGGUGCAUUAUCCUCCUGGUCAAUCGCACAAACCUGGGGGGAUGUGUGGCU